UGGGGAAUUUUGGACAAUGGGCGCAAGCCUGAUCCAGCAAUGCCGCGUGUGUGAAGAAGGCCUUCGGGUUGUAAAGCACUUUUGUCCGGAAAGAAAUCCGUCUGGCUAAUACCCGGACGGGAUGACGGUACCGGAAGAAUAAGCACCGGCUAACUACGUGCCAGCAGCCGCGGUAAUACGUAGGGUGCGAGCGUUAAUCGGAAUUACUGGGCGUAAAGCGUGCGCAGGCGGCUUUGUAAGACAGAUGUGAAAUCCCCGGGCUCAACCUGGGAACUGCAUUUGUGACUGCAAGGCUAGAGUGCGUCAGAGGGAGGUGGAAUUCCGCGUGUAGCAGU
Molecule: ribosomal RNA, 335 nt
Filed under: uncultured bacterium
Lineage: Bacteria
Description: bacterial SSU rRNA
Rfam family: Bacterial small subunit ribosomal RNA
Source: RNAcentral